Molecule: ribosomal RNA, 489 nt
Filed under: uncultured bacterium
Lineage: Bacteria
Description: partial 16S ribosomal RNA
Rfam family: Bacterial small subunit ribosomal RNA
Source: RNAcentral
UUGAACGCUGGCGGCAGGCCUAACAUAUGCAAGUCGAACGGUAACAGGAAGCAGCUUGCUGCUUUGCUGACGAGUGGCGGACGGGUGAGUAAUGUCUGGGAAACUGCCCGAUGGAGGGGGAUAACUACUGGAAACGGUAGCUAAUACCGCAUAACGUCGCAAGACCAAAGAGGGGGACCUUAGGGCCUCUUGCCAUCGGAUGUGCCCAGAUGGGAUUAGCUAGUAGGUGGGGUAACGGCUCACCUAGGCGACGAUCCCUAGCUGGUCUGAGAGGAUGACCAGCCACACUGGAACUGAGACACGGUCCAGACUCCUACGGGAGGCAGCAGUGGGGAAUAUUGCACAAUGGGCGCAAGCCUGAUGCAGCCAUGCCGCGUGUAUGAAGAAGGCCUUCGGGUUGUAAAGUACUUUCAGCGGGGAGGAAGGGAGUAAAGUUAAUACCUUUGCUCAUUGACGUUACCCGCAGAAGAAGCACCGGCUAACUCCGUG